GUAGGGAAUUUUCGUCAAUGGGGGAAACCCUGAACGAGCAAUGCCGCGUGAGUGAGGAAGGUCUUCGGAUUGUAAAGCUCUGUUGCCGGGGAAAAGAGGAAAAGAGAGGAAAUGCUCUUUUCAGGAUGGUACCCGGCCAGAAAGUCACGGCUAACUACGUGCCAGCAGCCGCGGUAAUACGUAGGUGGCAAGCGUUAUCCGGAAUGAUUGGGCGUAAAGGGUGAGCAGGCGGCCUGGACAAGUCAUGAGUGAAAGGUGGAAGCUUAACUUUCACAGGCUGAUGAUACUGACAGGCUUGAGUACAGGAGAGGGCGGCGGAACUCCAUGUGUAGCGGUAAAAUGCGUAGAUAUAUGGAAGAACACCAGUGGCGAAGGCGGCCGCCUGGACUGUAACUGACGCUGAGGCACGAAAGCGUGGGGAGCAAAUAGGA
This 431-nucleotide ribosomal RNA is filed under the name uncultured bacterium. Its description in RNAcentral is "bacterial SSU rRNA". It matches the Rfam family "Bacterial small subunit ribosomal RNA", at positions 354 to 777 of the family's 1533-position model. The record is from RNAcentral.